RNAcentral lists this ribosomal RNA (2169 nucleotides) under human gut metagenome. Its description in RNAcentral is "bacterial LSU rRNA". It matches the Rfam family "Bacterial large subunit ribosomal RNA", at positions 14 to 2235 of the family's 2925-position model. The record is from RNAcentral.
AGAGCGUAUGGUGGAUGCCUUGGCACUAAGAGCCGAUGAAAGACGUGAUAAGCUGCGAAAAGCUUCGGGGAGGAGCAAAUAUCCUUUGAUCCGGAGAUUUCUGAAUGGGGAAACCUACUUGAGCAAACCUCAAGUAUCCUUAAGCCAAUACAUAACUUAAGGAAGGGAACCCGGUGAACUGAAACAUCUAAGUAGCCGGAGGAAGAGAAAACAACAUGUGAUUCUGUGAGUAGCGGCGAGCGAAAACGGAAGAGCCCAAACCAGCGUGCGUGCAUGCUGGGGUUCGGACCGCGGAAUUGAUUCAACGAGUUUAGCAGAACGGUUUUGGGAAAGCCGGCCAGAGAGGGUGAAAGCCCCGUAAGCGAAAGACGAGUUGACAUGGCGGGAUCCAGAGUACCACGAGACACGUGGAACCUUGUGGGAAGAUGCGGGGACCACCCCGUAAGGCUAAAUACUACUUAGUGACCGAUAGCGCAUAGUACUGUGAAGGAAAGGUGAAAAGGACCCCGGGAGGGGAGUGAAAAAGAACCUGAAACCAUAUGUUUACAAGCUGUGGAAGAGCUUUAUAUGCUCAACCGCGUACUUUUUGUAGAACGGUCCGGCGAGUUACGCUGGCUGGCGAGGUUAAGGACUAAAGGUCCGGAGCCGAAGGGAAACCAAGUCUGAAUAGGGCGCAUAGUCAGUCGGAGUAGACCCGAAACCGGGUGAUCUAUCCAUGUCCAGGUUGAAGUUGCCGUAAAAGGCAAUGGAGGACCGAACCCACAUCCGUUGAAAAGGGUGGGGAUGAGGUGUGGAUAGGGGAGAAAUUCCAAUCGAACCCGGAGAUAGCUGGUUCUCCUCGAAAUAGCUUUAGGGCUAGCCUCGAUUUAGUCUUAUGGAGGUAGAGCACUGAAUUUCCGCGGGGGCGUCAAAGCUUACCAAAGAAUAUCAAACUCCGAAUGCCAUGUAGAUGAUGAUCGGGAGUCAGACUGCACGAGAUAAGUUGGGCAGUCAAAAGGGAAAGAGCCCAGACCACCGGCUAAGGUCCCAAAGUGCGUGUUAAGUGGAAAAGGAUGUGGGAAUUCGAAGACAACUAGGAUGUUGGCUCAGAAGCAGCCAUACAUUCAAAGAGUGCGUAACAGCUCACUAGUCGAGAGUUCCUGCGCCGAAAAUGUCCGGGGCUGAAACACGACACCGAAGCCGUGGACUCGCAAUGCGAGUGGUAGAGGAGCAUUCUUAAAACCGACGAAGCUGUACCGUAAGGAGCAGUGGAGGGAUAAGAAGAGAGAAUGCCGGAAUGAGUAGCGAGAGAAAGGUGGGAAUCCUUUCGGCCGAAUAUCUAAGGUUUCCAGAGUAAAGCUGAUCUGCUCUGGGUAAGUCGGGGCCUAAGCACAGGUCGCAAGACGUAAGCGAUGGAUAACAGGUUUAGAUUCCUGUACCACGCAUUAUCAGAACUGUAGGGACGCAUGUGGAAAGCACGGGCCGGGAAUGGAAAGACCGGUACAAGCGGGGUAGGUGUACAAUAGGCAAAUCCGUUGUAUAAUCCGAAGACGUGAUGUGGAGCGAAAUAAAGUAGCGAAGCGUGUGAGCCAUGUGCCGAGAAAAGCUGCUAUUGUGUAAUGCGUGCCCGUACCGUAAACCGACACAGGUGGAUGAGGAGAGAAUCCUAAGGCCGGCGGAAGAAGCAUUGUUAAGGAACUCGGCAAAAUGACCCCGUAACUUCGGGAGAAGGGGUGCCACAGCGAUGUGGCCGCAGUGAAUAGUCCCAAGCAACUGUUUAUCAAAAACACAGGUCUCUGCUAAAUCGAAAGAUGAAGUAUAGGGGCUGACGCCUGCCCAGUGCUGGAAGGUUAAGGGGAGCUGUUAGCGCAAGCGAAGCGGUGAACUUAAGCCCCAGUGAACGGCGGCCGUAACUAUAACGGUCCUAAGGUAGCGAAAUUCCUUGUCAGGUAAAUUCUGACCCGCACGAAUGGCGUAAUGAUUUGGGAACUGUCUCAACAAGAGACCCGGCGAAAUUGUAGUAUACGUGAAGAUGCGUAUUAACCUGCGACUGGACGGAGAGACCCCGUAGAGCUUUACUGUAGCUUGGUAUUGAAUUUCGGCAAUGAAUGUACAGGACAUGGAUGCCGCCGCCGUGAUGGACGACGCGGGCAACGUGACGAUUUUCGCCGUCAACCGCGACCUGACCGA